This 253-nucleotide ribosomal RNA is filed under the name uncultured bacterium. Its description in RNAcentral is "partial 16S ribosomal RNA". It matches the Rfam family "Bacterial small subunit ribosomal RNA", at positions 524 to 776 of the family's 1533-position model. The record is from RNAcentral.
UACGUAGGGUGCGAGCGUUAAUCGGAAUUACUGGGCGUAAAGCGUGCGCAGGCGGUUAUAUAAGACAGAGGUGAAAUCCCCGGGCUCAACCUGGGAACUGCCUUUGUGACUGUAUAGCUUGAGUGCGGCAGAGGGGGAUGGAAUUCCGCGUGUAGCAGUGAAAUGCGUAGAUAUGCGGAGGAACACCGAUGGCGAAGGCAAUCCCCUGGGCCUGCGCUGACGCUCAUGCACGAAAGCGUGGGGAUCAAACAGG